GACAGUGUUGAAGAGCCUUUGACUGCUGCAUUGAUGUACCUGACUGUAGCACUGAUCAAAAGCAUCCUUCAGUUUUUCCACCUUCUAUAGGCAGUUUGGAGGAGAGAGAACAAAGAGAUCCUCGGCUUCCUCCUGACAGGAUCAACGGACCUCGAGGGCUAAUCUUUCAUACUUGAGACUUCAGAACCUUUUCAGUCCCACAGCCUACAUCUUACCCCUUAGACCACAUCCACAUCUGGAAGUUGAGGCAAACAAGGCUGCCAGGGGCCCCGGUUAACACAAGGUCACACAUGAUGCCGCAGGAGACAGACUAAGAACACUUCACUGGGCCUUCAUAAAGUAUUAAGUACUACCUGCCCUCCAGGACACCUACAUCACCCGAUGUCACAGGAAGCCCAUUAAGAUCAUCAAGGACAACAACCA
This is a long non-coding RNA of Salvelinus sp. IW2-2015, 423 nucleotides long. RefSeq lists it as uncharacterized. Lineage: Eukaryota; Metazoa; Chordata; Actinopteri; Salmoniformes; Salmonidae. The record is from RefSeq and is a predicted model, not a curated record.